UCAGCGGGUAACCUCAUCUGACGUGAAAUCAAGUAGUGGGUACGUUCGGCGCAGAGAGGUCCAAUCCCUGAUCAGAGGCGUGUUCACUACUCUGCGGGAAGGGACUCUGCGGCCAACACUUUGCGGGCGGCGGCCGACGGUGAAGCGGGCCGUCCCCAUCACCGAACCGAGUUCGAGUGGACAAAUGAUGUUCACGCAGACGUGCCCAUCGGAAUACCAAGGGGCGCAAUGUGCGUUCAAAGAUUCGAUGAUUCACGGAAUUCUGCAAUUCACAUUACUUAUCGCAUUUCGCUGCGUUCUUCAUCNAUGCGAGAACCA
RNAcentral lists this unclassified non-coding RNA (318 nucleotides) under uncultured fungus. Its description in RNAcentral is "partial contains 5.8S ribosomal RNA and internal transcribed spacer 2". Lineage: Eukaryota; Fungi. The record is from RNAcentral.